Molecule: long non-coding RNA, 378 nt
Organism: Bradysia coprophila
Lineage: Eukaryota; Metazoa; Arthropoda; Insecta; Diptera; Sciaridae
Source: RefSeq, a predicted model, not a curated record
CGGCAUCAGUUUGUUGUAUCAUUACAUUUGUAGUAAACGAUCGCAGAAAGAACUUCACUGUCAAAAUGAUGAAACCAGUACUUUUCACCUUCCUCUUGGUCGCCCUUUUUGCUGCGUACUCCGCAUCUCCAGUAGCUGAUGCCGAAGCUGCACCAGCUCCUUGUUGGUGGUGGCUUUUGUUAACAACAACAACAACGACUACUACUACUACCACCACCACAACCACAACCACUACAACUACUACUACUACAACAACCACUACUACUGCAGCACCAGCAGCUUAGUAGUGUCUUUGGAUAUGCAAAGUGAUCAUAAUUUACCAUCAAAAAAAAUGUUAUAAACAUUCGAUUUUCAAUAAAUUCAGUCAUAUCAAAAGUA